This 256-nucleotide ribosomal RNA is filed under the name uncultured bacterium. RNAcentral's name for it is "partial 16S ribosomal RNA". It matches the Rfam family "Bacterial small subunit ribosomal RNA", at positions 524 to 776 of the family's 1533-position model. The record is from RNAcentral.
UACAGAGGGUGCGAGCGUUGUCCGGAAUCACUGGGCGUAAAGGGCGCGUAGGCGGUCUUUUAAGCGUGUGGUGAAAGCCCGGGGCUCAACCCCGGGUCGGCCGUGCGAACUGGGAGACUGGAGCAGAUCAGAGGCAGGCGGAAUUCCGGGUGGUAGCGGUGGAAGUGCGUAGAGAUCCGGAAGAACACCGGUGGCGAAGGCGGCCUGCUGGGAUCUGGCUGACGCUGAAGCGCGACAGCGUGGGGGAGCAAACAGG